RNAcentral lists this ribosomal RNA (433 nucleotides) under uncultured bacterium. Its description in RNAcentral is "partial 16S ribosomal RNA". It matches the Rfam family "Bacterial small subunit ribosomal RNA", at positions 29 to 507 of the family's 1533-position model. The record is from RNAcentral.
AACGAACGCUGGCGGCAUGCCUAACACAUGCAAGUCGAACGAAGGCUUCGGCCUUAGUGGCGCACGGGUGCGUAACGCGUGGGAAUCUGCCCUUGUGUUCGGAAUAACAGCGGGAAACUGCUGCUAAUACCGGAUGAUGACGUAAGUCCAAAGAUUUAUCGCCCAAGGAUGAGCCCGCGUAGGAUUAGCUAGUUGGUGCGGUAAAGGCCCACCAAGGCGACGAUCCUUAGCUGGUCUGAGAGGAUGAUCAGCCACACUGGGACUGAGACACGGCCCAGACUCCUACGGGAGGCAGCAGUGGGGAAUAUUGGACACUGGGCGAAAGCCUGAUCCAGCAAUGCCGCGUGAGUGAUGAAGGCCUUAGGGUUGUAAAGCUCUUUUACCCGGGAUGAUAAUGACAGUACCGGGAGAAUAAGCUCCGGCUAACUCCGUG